UGUGAGCUCGAUGAGUAGGGCGGGACACGUGGUAUCCUGUCUGAAUAUGGGGGGACCAUCCUCCAAGGCUAAAUACUCCUGACUGACCGAUAGUGAACCAGUACCGUGAGGGAAAGGCGAAAAGAACCCCGGCGAGGGGAGUGAAAAAGAACCUGAAACCGUGUACGUACAAGCAGUGGGAGCCUCUUAAUGGGGUGACUGCGUACCUUUUGUAUAAUGGGUCAGCGACUUAUAUUCUGUAGCAAGGUUAACCGAAUAGGGGAGCCGAAGGGAAACCGAGUCUUAACUGGGCGUUAAGUUGCAGGGUAUAGACCCGAAACCCGGUGAUCUAGCCAUGGGCAGGUUGAAGGUUGGGUAACACUAACUGGAGGACCGAACCGACUAAUGUUGAAAAAUUAGCGGAUGACUUGUGGCUGGGGGUGAAAGGCCAAUCAAACCGGGAGAUAGCUGGUUCUCCCCGAAAGCUAUUUAGGUAGCGCCUCGUGAAUUCAUCUCCGGGGGUAGAGCACUGUUUCGGCAAGGGGGUCAUCCCGACUUACCAACCCGAUGCAAACUGCGAAUACCGGAGAAUGUUAUCACGGGAGACACACGGCGGGUGCUAACGUCCGUCGUGAAGAGGGAAACAACCCAGACCGCCAGCUAAGGUCCCAAAGUCAUGGUUAAGUGGGAAACGAUGUGGGAAGGCCCAGACAGCCAGGAUGUUGGCUUAGAAGCAGCCAUCAUUUAAAGAAAGCGUAAUAGCUCACUGGUCGAGUCGGCCUGCGCGGAAGAUGUAACGGGGCUAAACCAUGCACCGAAGCUGCGGCAGCGACACUAUGUGUUGUUGGGUAGGGGAGCGUUCUGUAAGCCUGUGAAGGUGUACUGUGAGGUAUGCUGGAGGUAUCAGAAGUGCGAAUGCUGACAUAAGUAACGAUAAAGCGGGUGAAAAGCCCGCUCGCCGGAAGACCAAGGGUUCCUGUCCAACGUUAAUCGGGGCAGGGUGAGUCGACCCCUAAGGCGAGGCCGAAAGGCGUAGUCGAUGGGAAACAGGUUAAUAUUCCUGUACUUGGUGUUACUGCGAAGGGGGGACGGAGAAGGCUAUGUUGGCCGGGCGACGGUUGUCCCGGUUUAAGCGUGUAGGCUGGUUUUCCAGGCAAAUCCGGAAAAUCAAGGCUGAGGCGUGAUGACGAGGCACUACGGUGCUGAAGCAACAAAUGCCCUGCUUCCAGGAAAAGCCUCUAAGCAUCAGGUAACAUCAAAUCGUACCCCAAACCGACACAGGUGGUCAGGUAGAGAAUACCAAGGCGCUUGAGAGAACUCGGGUGAAGGAACUAGGCAAAAUGGUGCCGUAACUUCGGGAGAAGGCACGCUGAUAUGUAGGUGAAGUCCCUCGCGGAUGGAGCUGAAAUCAGUCGAAGAUACCAGCUGGCUGCAACUGUUUAUUAAAAACACAGCACUGUGCAAACACGAAAGUGGACGUAUACGGUGUGACGCCUGCCCGGUGCCGGAAGGUUAAUUGAUGGGGUUAGCGGUAACGCGAAGCUCUUGAUCGAAGCCCCGGUAAACGGCGGCCGUAACUAUAACGGUCCUAAGGUAGCGAAAUUCCUUGUCGGGUAAGUUCCGACCUGCACGAAUGGCGUAAUGAUGGCCAGGCUGUCUCCACCCGAGACUCAGUGAAAUUGAACUCGCUGUGAAGAUGCAGUGUACCCGCGGCAAGACGGAAAGACCCCGUGAACCUUUACUAUAGCUUGACACUGAACAUUGAGCCUUGAUGUGUAGGAUAGGUGGGAGGCUUUGAAGUGUGGACGCCAGUCUGCAUGGAGCCGGCCUUGAAAUACCACCCUUUAAUGUUUGAUGUUCUAACGUUGGCCCCUGAUCGGGGUUGCGGACAGUGUCUGGUGGGUAGUUUGACUGGGGCGGUCUCCUCCUAAAGAGUAACGGAGGAGCACGAAGGUUGGCUAAUCCUGGUCGGACAUCAGGAGGUUAGUGCAAUGGCAUAAGCCAGCUUGACUGCGAGCGUGACGGCGCGAGCAGGUGCGAAAGCAGGUCAUAGUGAUCCGGUGGUUCUGAAUGGAAGGGCCAUCGCUCAACGGAUAAAAGGUACUCCGGGGAUAACAGGCUGAUACCGCCCAAGAGUUCAUAUCGACGGCGGUGUUUGGCACCUCGAUGUCGGCUCAUCACAUCCUGGGGCUGAAGUAGGUCCCAAGGGUAUGGCUGUUCGCCAUUUAAAGUGGUACGCGAGCUGGGUUUAGAACGUCGUGAGACAGUUCGGUCCCUAUCUGCCGUGGGCGCUGGAGAACUGAGGGGGGCUGCUCCUAGUACGAGAGGACCGGAGUGGACGCAUCACUGGUGUUCGGGUUGUCAUGCCAAUGGCACUGCCCGGUAGCUAAAUGCGGAAGAGAUAAGUGCUGAAAGCAUCUAAGCACGAAACUUGCCCCGAGAUGAGUUCUCCCUGACUCCUUGA
Molecule: ribosomal RNA, 2443 nt
Filed under: Escherichia coli
Lineage: Bacteria; Pseudomonadati; Pseudomonadota; Gammaproteobacteria; Enterobacterales; Enterobacteriaceae
Description: bacterial LSU rRNA
Rfam family: Bacterial large subunit ribosomal RNA
Source: RNAcentral